RNAcentral lists this long non-coding RNA (524 nucleotides) under Olea europaea subsp. europaea. Lineage: Eukaryota; Viridiplantae; Streptophyta; Magnoliopsida; Lamiales; Oleaceae. The record is from RNAcentral.
CCCUGAGCCAACACAUAUGAGUUCUCCACCAUUAAAGACACACACAGAUGGUACUCAGUCAGCGCAGGGAUCAGGUACCGGGACAGUUCCUCAAACCACUCUUGCACAGGGGUUGUUGGCUGAGAUCAGCUCAGAGCGACAUGGUGUCAAGCAUAUGUUGAUUGAUCACUUUAAGAAGGACCAUGGAAUGAAAGUUGGAUCUACCAUGAGAUUUGCUAUUGAAGACUUGGUUUUUAAGCUCUUUGGAGAGGGACCUUCUGUAAGUAAGACUCCUACGCAUACACCUUCACCUGGUCCUUCUAUCACAGCUCCUACACACAAUAAGGUGAAAGAACAUAUACAGAGAGANAUGGAUGGCAUGGGCCUUGGAAACUGCAUGCAAAAUGCAGAGGACGAUGUCCCUACAGCAAGCAAGUCAAUCUCCCACGAUUCAGAUGUCGUAGCACAGAACACCAUGAGAUUAAACACACCUACGACUAGUACAAUGAGAUCAGAUGCACCCGCUUUUCGCCCGACAUUCAGUG